UACAGAGGUGGCAAGCGUUGUUCGGAAUUACUGGGCGUAAAGGGCGCGUAGGCGGCCGCCUAAGUCAGACGUGAAAUCCCCAAGCUUAACUUGGGAACUGCGUCUGAUACUGGGUGGCUUGAGUUCGGGAGAGGAAUGUGGAAUUCCAGGUGUAGCGGUGAAAUGCGUAGAUAUCUGGAGGAACACCGGUGGCGAAGGCGGCAUUCUGGACCGAAACUGACGCUGAGGCGCGAAAGCCAGGGGAGCAAACAGG
This 253-nucleotide ribosomal RNA is filed under the name uncultured bacterium. Its description in RNAcentral is "partial 16S ribosomal RNA". It matches the Rfam family "Bacterial small subunit ribosomal RNA", at positions 524 to 776 of the family's 1533-position model. The record is from RNAcentral.